This 157-nucleotide ribosomal RNA is filed under the name Phillipsia domingensis. Its description in RNAcentral is "5.8S rRNA". It matches the Rfam family "5.8S ribosomal RNA". From Rfam's summary of the family: 5.8S ribosomal RNA (5.8S rRNA) is a component of the large subunit of the eukaryotic ribosome. It is transcribed by RNA polymerase I as part of the 45S precursor that also contains 18S and 28S rRNA. The record is from RNAcentral. Lineage: Eukaryota; Fungi; Ascomycota; Pezizomycetes; Pezizales; Sarcoscyphaceae.
AAACUUUCAACAACGGAUCUCUUGGUUCUCGCAUCGAUGAANAACGCAGCGAAAUGCGAUAAGUAGUGUGAAUUGCAGAAUUCAGUGAAUCAUCGAAUCUUUGAACGCACAUUGCGCCCUCUGGCAUUCCGGAGGGCAUGCCUGUCCGAGCGUCAUU